GACGUAGGGCGCGAGCGUUGUCCGGAUUUAUUGGGCGUACAGAGCUCGUAGGCGGCUUGUUGCGUCAGCUGUGAAAACCCGCAGCUCAACUGUGGGCUUGCCGCUGAUACGGGCAGGCUUGAGUUCGGUAGGGGAGACUGGAAUUCCUGGUGUAGCGGUGAAAUGCGCAGAUAUCAGGAAGAACACCCGUGGCGAAAGCGGCUCUCUGGAACGGUACUGACGCUGAGACGCGAAAGCGUGGGGAGCGAACAGG
RNAcentral lists this ribosomal RNA (253 nucleotides) under uncultured bacterium. RNAcentral's name for it is "partial 16S ribosomal RNA". It matches the Rfam family "Bacterial small subunit ribosomal RNA", at positions 524 to 776 of the family's 1533-position model. The record is from RNAcentral.